RNAcentral lists this long non-coding RNA (948 nucleotides) under Glycine max (soybean). RNAcentral's name for it is "long non-coding RNA (GMAX_LNC002987)". Lineage: Eukaryota; Viridiplantae; Streptophyta; Magnoliopsida; Fabales; Fabaceae. The record is from RNAcentral.
UUAAUUAUGCCCCUGCCGACUUUUACAGACCCCACAAACAAAACACUUAAGCGGUGCUUCACGAUAGAUUGGGUGCUACCCAAACAUUUGGUUUCUUAUUCCUAUUUAGCAUACCUUUGGCACCAAGCACUCUAUUAGCUCCCUUCCUUUUUCCUUUUUGUCAAUAAGUAGUUCCCUUCCAGUUCCACCCUGUUUGGUAGGAUGGAAAGAUAUCAAAUAGAUAAAAAUAAAAUUAACGAGUAAAAGUAAGUGAGACAUAAAAAAAAUUGAUUGAAAAAAAAAAUAGAUAAAAAAUGACUAAAAGUAAAUAAUAUAAGUGGUUCUCACCAUUUAAAAACAUUUUUACUCUCAAUAUCUCCUCUAGGAAACAUAUCCUUGGUUUCAUACACUGCAGAAAAGACUUUUUUCUUUCCACACUUUAGUUUUCUUAGUUGAAUAUUGAGUGUGGUCCUGUGGGCUAACACUAGGGCCUAGCCUAAUAAGUUGUUCAGAAUUCAGAUGUUGCAAUCACCGGCCAUCUUGUACAAUUUUUUAAUUAUAAAAUAAUGUAUUACAGCAUGACGUGUGCCGCGUAAUAUUUAGCCAAGUGAUGUUUUUAUAGCUAUUUUUUUUUGGCCUCUUGUGGUUAGGAUGCAAAAUUGGUUAGUUGAAGGAUUCCAAUAAUGUGAAUCAGGCAGGAAUUAAAACAAAUGAAAAUAAUAAUAGUUUACUUGAGUUGUUGGAUAGAGAAGAAAGAGAACCAGAAAUCAAAGCUAUCUAUGCAUUCACCUUUGGAAAGCAAAUUUAAAAUUUGUCACUGAUGCAUGGCAUGGGAUGGCAUAUGUAGCCUUUACCCAUCAAAGAAAAUAAAAUAAGAUUAUACAAGUAUGUCAUGGACUCUCAUGGCUAUGCACACUUUCUUUCCAUCCUAAUACGCUUUUUUCAUAAAAGGAAACACUAUUGAAAAAA